This 252-nucleotide ribosomal RNA is filed under the name uncultured bacterium. RNAcentral describes it as "partial 16S ribosomal RNA". It matches the Rfam family "Bacterial small subunit ribosomal RNA", at positions 524 to 776 of the family's 1533-position model. The record is from RNAcentral.
UACGUAGGUCCCGAGCGUUGUCCGGAUUUAUUGGGCGUAAAGCGAGCGCAGGUGGUUUAUUAAGUCUGGUGUAAAAGGCAGUGGCUCAGCCAUUGUAUGCAUUGGAAACUGGUAGACUUGAGUGCAGGAGAGGAGAGUGGAAUUCCAUGUGUAGCGGUGAAAUGCGUAGAUAUAUGGAGGAACGCCGGUGGCGAAAGCGGCUCUCUGGCCUGUAACUGACACUGAGGCUCAAAAGCGUGGGGAGCAAACAGG